AUGUGGCGACAGCGGCAACCAGCACUCGCAUAUGUGGGUCAGCAGAGGAGAGCGGCACGCGGCAAUGACGCCUCGCACUCACAUCCAUGGGGCAGCAGAGGAGAGUGGGAAGCAACCAUGGCGGCCAGUGCUCGCGUCCUUGUGGAAGUAGAGGAGGAGUGGACGCCAGUGACAGAGUCCCCUGUUCGCACCGGUGGGAGUAGAAGAGGAGCGGGAAGCGAAGACAUCGAUCCGCGUUCGCGGCAGCAUCCAGCAGAGGAGGAACGGCGGGCAGGGGAUGCGAUCUGCGCUCGGAUCUGUGGGGCAGCAGAACAGGAGAGACAACUUGUUAUGAGGGAAGAGAGAAAAUUACAGGAUAAAAAAUCCCUUAAUCCUGCUAAUUGA
RNAcentral lists this ribosomal RNA (384 nucleotides) under Triticum aestivum (bread wheat). RNAcentral's name for it is "partial small subunit ribosomal RNA". The record is from RNAcentral. Lineage: Eukaryota; Viridiplantae; Streptophyta; Magnoliopsida; Poales; Poaceae.